This 882-nucleotide ribosomal RNA is filed under the name Acremonium sclerotigenum. RNAcentral's name for it is "partial large subunit ribosomal RNA". It matches the Rfam family "Eukaryotic large subunit ribosomal RNA", at positions 1 to 913 of the family's 3401-position model. Lineage: Eukaryota; Fungi; Ascomycota; Sordariomycetes; Hypocreales; Bionectriaceae. The record is from RNAcentral.
GGUUGACCUCAGAUCAGGUAGGAAUACCCGCUGAACUUAAGCAUAUCAAUAAGCGGAGGAAAAGAAACCAACAGGGAUUGCCCUAGUAACGGCGAGUGAAGCGGCAACAGCUCAAAUUUGAAAUCUGGCCUCACGGUCCGAAUUGUAAUUUGUAGAGGAUGUUUCUGGCGACGUGUCUUCCGAGUUCCCUGGAACGGGACGCCAUAGAGGGUGAGAGCCCCGUCCGGUCGUACACCUAGCCUCUGUGAAACUCCUUCGACGAGUCGAGUAGUUUGGGAAUGCUGCUCUAAAUGGGAGGUAUACGUCUUCUAAAGCUAAAUACCGGCCAGAGACCGAUAGCGCACAAGUAGAGUGAUCGAAAGAUGAAAAGCACUUUGAAAAGAGGGUUAAAUAGUACGUGAAAUUGCUGAAAGGGAAGCGCUUAUGACCAGACUUGGGCUCGGUGAAUCAUCCGGCGUUCUCGCCGGUGCACUUUGCCGUCCCAGGCCAGCAUCAGUUCGCGCCGGGGGAUAAAGGUUUCGGGAAUGUAGCUCCCUCGGGAGUGUUAUAGCCCGUUGCGUAAUACCCUGGCGUGGACUGAGGUCCGCGCUCUGCAAGGAUGCUGGCGUAAUGGUCAUCAGUGACCCGUCUUGAAACACGGACCAAGGAGUCGUCUUCGUAUGCGAGUGUUCGGGUGUCAAACCCCUACGCGUAAUGAAAGUGAACGUAGGAGAGAGCUUCGGCGCAUCUCCGACCGAUCCUGAUGUUCUCGGAUGGAUUUGAGUAAGAGCAUACGGGGCCGGACCCGAAAGAAGGUGAACUAUGCCUGUAUAGGGUGAAGCCAGAGGAAACUCUGGUGGAGGCUCGCAGCGGUUCUGACGUGCAAAUCGAUCGUCAAAUAUG